Non-coding RNA from Tricharina praecox, 87 nucleotides. The record is from the annotation of a RefSeq genome assembly. Lineage: Eukaryota; Fungi; Ascomycota; Pezizomycetes; Pezizales; Pyronemataceae.
GGUGGGAUGGCCGAGUGGUCUAAGGCGCUGGUUUUAGGAAAUAAUCACCAGUCAGAAAUGGCGCGGGUUCGAAUCCCGCUCCCAUCA